Long non-coding RNA from Felis catus (domestic cat), 1151 nucleotides. RefSeq lists it as uncharacterized. The record is from RefSeq and is a predicted model, not a curated record. Lineage: Eukaryota; Metazoa; Chordata; Mammalia; Carnivora; Felidae. The transcript is spliced from 3 exons.
GUAAGUGAAGUUAUUCACUUACCAAUAACUAUCUCUCAUUGUUUGAGAUCUGUUCCUGGUGCAUUAACUUUUGGGCCACUUUCAGCCUGCCCUGCAGAGAGGCUGAGCAGCUUUGCAAGUCAGACAAAGUUCUUUGAGAAACACAGAGGCAUAUGCAUCAACUUCUGAGAUGACUCUUCGGGUCAUUCAAGGGAAUAUGGACAGGUCAUUAACUGAGGCUGCUAUACUUCUAUUGCAUUUCAUUGAUAAGGAGAUUGACCCCAAAAUGUUUCAGUAACUUGUCUGAAAUCAAAGGGUUUAUUAGACCUUAUUUAAACCUUGGUCGGAUUAAGAUAUCCACUACCCAAAUCCCACCCCCACCUACUGCUUUUGGCUGGGUGUGAACUCUUUCCUUAACUCCGUCUUAUCUCUUGCUGCUGGGCCUGGGAGAGAAAAGGUGUGGCUGUAUCCUCUGGUGAGGAGAACAGUCAAACAUUAUACAGCAAGAUGAAAUCAAAGAGUGAUGGGAAACUGAAUGCAACUUUUUCUGGAGAUUGCUACCAUACAAAAAAAUCAGCUCAGCCUGCACCAGGGUAAUUAUACAUUUUCAGGAUACUUUGGAAUUCCAGACAGUGGACCCAAGCAUGGAAACAAGCAUAUAAGAUCCAGCAAUACAUGGAAAUUGGAACAAGCCAAUAGAUUAUACUGACAAGUGGCUGAGUCCUCUCACAACUGUAUAUCCUUGAGAAGUAGUUCUAGUACAGUAGGAAAAUUAGUGAAAGCAAUAGAGGAUUCUGGAAUUGAAAGAAUUGAUGUUAUGUGCUUGUACCAAGCAGGGAUCUAGUCUUCCGAUAUAUGAACAUGGAUCAUUGAAGUACCAUGCGAUGCUUUGCCCUAAAAAACCAGAGAAGAAUGGGCCCCAAGAACUGGUGAGAGUAAGCAGCAAGAAUGUGGAGGAACGUGGAGCUCUUUAACCUGAGAAAAUAUUGUGGAGAAUUGGCUUUCCUGAGUUUCUCAUUUGUUUCAUUGAAGAUAUUUAUGCAUAACCAAUACAGUAAUUAAUGAGCAUUGUAGCAGAUGAUGGACUUAGAGUUUAUUACAUUCUGUUUAUUACAUUGCAGCCAAUAAACCACAUCCUUUGUAAUAAAAACUAUUAUAGCGCUGGCUUCUGA